GCUAAAGCAAAACAUAUGAUCUGUAAGCACUCUACAGAUCAGUAAACUCUGAACAAAAGUGACUAAGAAAUUUUAAAACUAACACCCUUCUUUACAAAGUGGCAGUGUAGCAGUCAUUUCUUUUUAAGGAGAACUUUGGACACUAUAAGCAAGCAGAAGACCCAGCUUCUGGGAAAUACCCUCUGGGAUGCAACUUUACUCCUUUUUAGUGGAUUCCUUCCCAGCAGUAAGCAUUUAUGGACAUGGUACAACAUAAAUGCAGGGUGCUAGGGAACGCAAGGCAAAGCAAGAAUGACCGAAGCUGGGAAGAAAAGAUGUGUCCUCCAGAAAUACAUACAAAUUCCCCUAAUGCAAGUUCUGGGAGAGUUACAUUUCCAAGCACUUACUUCAGCUGGUUUCUUGCUGGAUUCAACCAGUGGGAGGCACUGGUGUGAGAUUAGAUGAUGGAAGGAAAGAUGAAGACAGGACAAUUCUCCCUUUCUUUUGGACAGCAGCAAUCUUUCAAACUCCAAUUCUUGCUUGGUAUACAGUCUGCACCUCACAGCAGCACCCUUCAUGUUCUGUAGGUCAGAAAUCUGGUUUGAGUAUCACUGGGCUAAAAAGAAGCUGUUGGCAGGACUACAUUCUUCCUGAAAGUACUAGAGGAGAAUCUGAUUCCUUCUCUUUUUCUGCAUCCAGCAGCUGCCAUAUUCUUUUAAUCAUGGUAUCUUACUCCAUUUUUAAAGCCAGCAACAGCAGGUCAAAUCCUAUUCACUUUACAUAACCCUGAGGUUUAUGUUAUUCUGGGGGGCCCAGCAGAAUCCAGAAUAAUCUCCCUGUUUUAAGAUCAGCUAAUUAGCAACCUUAAUUUCAUUUACAACCUUAAGUUCUCCUUUCCAUGUAAUAGGAUAUAUUCACAGGUCCCAGUGAUUAUGAUGUGGACCUCUUGGUGGGGGGGCAUUAUUCUAUCUAAUACAGGUACUUUUUAUUUUUUACAAGAUGGCUAUUUCCUACUAGAUUAUGAGCUCUUUAUGCAUAUAUCUCAUAUCUCUGAUUUCUCUACACUGCAUUGCACAAAAUAAGCGAUCAGUAAAAAUGAAGCGCCUGCUUCCUUUUUUGAUGCUGGUCCACCAAGAGCUUAUCAUAGUAAAAGCCUCCAACAAAAUACACAAAAACCUUGGGGUAAGUCCCACUUCUUAUAUUUGUUCUACAAAUAUCAAUUGUAAAUAAAUGUAGAAUACAAACUGUUGAGCGUCUUGAGCCACUGCUGAAGUGUGCCCACAAAAUGGGAGCGAAAUGAAGAACCAUUAAGUGAUGUCAAGCUGCAGAUGACAAGGCAAUAUGGCAGCAGCU
Cebus imitator (Panamanian white-faced capuchin) is the source of this 1332-nucleotide long non-coding RNA. RefSeq lists it as uncharacterized. NCBI's taxonomy places the organism in Eukaryota, Metazoa, Chordata, Mammalia, Primates, Cebidae. The record is from RefSeq and is a predicted model, not a curated record. The transcript is spliced from 4 exons.